UUGGAGGGCAAGUCUGGUGCCAGCAGCCGCGGUAAUUCCAGCUCCAAUAGCGUAUAUUAAAGUUGUUGCAGUUAAAAAGCUCGUAGUUGAAUUUCGAGAUCAAAUUGUUGGUCGUGCCUCGGUACGCACUGGCAUUAUUGAUUUCUCCCUUCUGAAGAACCUUGAUGUCAUUAAUUUGGUGUCUUGGGGAAUCAGGACCGUUACUUUGAAAAAAUUAGAGUGUUUAAAGCAGGCUCACGCUUGAAUACAUUAGCAUGGAAUAAUGAAAUAGGACGUUUGAUUCUAUUUUGUUGGUUUCUAGGAUCGACGUAAUGAUUAAUAGGGAUAGUUGGGGGCAUUAGUAUUCAAUUGUCAGAGGUGAAAUUCUUGGAUUUAUUGAAGACUAACUACUGCGAAAGCAUUUGCCAAGGAUGUUUUCAUUAAUCAAGAACGAAAGUUAGGGGAUCGAAGACGAUCAGAUACCGUCGUAGUCUUAACCAUAAACUAUGCCGACUAGGGAUCGGAUGAUGUUAAUUUUUUAAUGACUCAUUCGGCGCCUUACGGGAAAC
RNAcentral lists this ribosomal RNA (548 nucleotides) under uncultured Glomus. RNAcentral describes it as "SSU rRNA". It matches the Rfam family "Eukaryotic small subunit ribosomal RNA", at positions 548 to 1098 of the family's 1831-position model. Lineage: Eukaryota; Fungi; Glomeromycota; Glomeromycetes; Glomerales; Glomeraceae. The record is from RNAcentral.